Molecule: ribosomal RNA, 234 nt
Filed under: uncultured bacterium
Lineage: Bacteria
Description: partial 16S ribosomal RNA
Rfam family: Bacterial small subunit ribosomal RNA
Source: RNAcentral
UGAGGAACAUGACCUUCGGCGGGGGAUAGCCGGCCCAACGGCCGGGUAAUACCGCGUACGACCACAUGGGGACAUCCCUGAGUGGUGAAAGCAGCAAUGCGCCGAUGGAGUGCCUCGCGGCCUGUCAGCUAGUUGGUGAGGUAACGACUCACCAAGGCGACGACGGGUAGCUGGUCUGGGAGGAUGGCCAGCCACAUUGGGACUGAGACACGGCCCAGACCUCCGUAGGGACGG